Molecule: small RNA, 740 nt
Filed under: Pan troglodytes (chimpanzee)
Lineage: Eukaryota; Metazoa; Chordata; Mammalia; Primates; Hominidae
Description: retained intron
Source: RNAcentral
AUUUUCACAUUUUUCUUAUUAUUAGCUUACAUCAGUAAUCUUUAUACAUUGAGUUAUCCUUUUUGUUUUGUCUCAAGGGAUGCUCUAAAAUCAAAUCUUCAUUACCUCUCUUCAUAGGUGUUCUUCUUUUGGGAGACGCAUAUAAUAUGAGGCAUCCACUUACUGGUGGAGGAAUGACUGUUGCUUUUAAAGAUAUAAAACUAUGGAGAAAACUGCUAAAGGGUAUCCCUGACCUUUAUGAUGAUGCAGCUAUUUUCGAGGCCAAAAAAUCAUUUUACUGGGCAAGAAAAACAUCUCAUUCCUUUGUCGUGAAUAUCCUUGCUCAGGCUCUUUAUGAAUUAUUUUCUGCCACAGAUGGUAAGUUUAGACACUUUUUAGUGAAUAUUACUCAAUUGCAGAUUUUUAGCAUAGGAAAGGAAUAAACAAGUUAGUGAUUUGUCCAGAAAUAAAAAUGUUACCUGAGUUUGCUAACUCCCAAGUUGGUAGUUUUUUAAAAUUCCAUUUUGAGCAAUAGUUGUAGUUUUAGUUUUAGUUUGGAAGGUAGUGGAAUUUCCUUAGACAUUAAUAGCAAUGCCUCAGUAACAUAUUCAUUAUUUUGAAUUCCUCUGGUGCAGACUAGAUCAUGCUUGUCCUCACACACACAAGAUUGUGAUGGAAGGUGUUUUUGGCCAUGUAUUAAAAGGCAAUGUAGUCUUUUUCUUCCUAACACUAGUUUCAAUUUCUUUUUAAAGUAGUAUUUU